RNAcentral lists this ribosomal RNA (468 nucleotides) under uncultured bacterium. RNAcentral's name for it is "partial 16S ribosomal RNA". It matches the Rfam family "Bacterial small subunit ribosomal RNA", at positions 28 to 507 of the family's 1533-position model. The record is from RNAcentral.
GACGAACGCUGGCGGCGUGCCUAACACAUGCAAGUCGAACGGAAAGGCCGGGCUUUUUUGCGGAGGUGGGGGUGAGAACGGGUGAGUAACACGUGGGUAACCUGUCCCUGCCUGAGAGAUAACUUAAGAAAACUGAAUCUCAUACCACAUAGGAGCUCCUGCUGCUGGGUGGGGGUUGGUUAGUUUCGGUGGUUGGGGAUGGACUCGCGUCGUAUCAGCUUGAUGGUGGGGUAGUGGCAUAGCAUGGCCUGGAAGGGUGGCCGGGCUGAGCGGGUGACCGGCCACGCUGGGACUGAGAUACGACACAGACUCCUACGGGAGGCGACGGUGGAGAAUAGUGUACAAUGGGCGGAAGCCUGAUGCGGCAAAGCCGCGUGGGGGAUGACGGCAUGGGGGUAGGAAUCCGAUUUCGCCUGUGACGAAGCGUGAGUGACGGUAAUGGGUAAAGAAGCACCGGCUAACUACGUG